GACGAACGCUGGCGGCGUGCUUAACACAUGCAAGUCGAACGGAAAGGCCUGCUUUCCCUUGUGGAUUGCGGGUGCUCGAGUGGCGAACGGGUGAGUAACACGUGAGUGAUCUGCCCCCAACUUGGGUAUAAGCCUGGGAAACUGGGUCUAAUUCCCGAUAGGACUGCAGGGUGGUGCCUGUGGUGGAAAACGAUUUUCUAGUGGUUGGGGAUGAGCUCGCGGCCUAUCAGCUUGUUGGUGGGGUAAUGGCCUACCAAGGCGGCGACGGGUAGCCGGCCUGGGAGGGUGGACGGCCACAUUGGGACUGAGAUACGGCCCAGACUCCUACGGGAGGCAGCAGUGGGGAAUAAUGCACAAUGGGCGGAAGCCUGAUGCAGCGACGCCGCGUGGGGGAUGACGGCCUUCGGGUUGUAAACUCCUUUCGACCGCGAGGAAGCCACCUGGUUGGAAGGGUGGUGACGGUAGUGGUAGAAGAAGCACCGGCUAACUACGUG
RNAcentral lists this ribosomal RNA (494 nucleotides) under uncultured bacterium. Its description in RNAcentral is "partial 16S ribosomal RNA". It matches the Rfam family "Bacterial small subunit ribosomal RNA", at positions 28 to 507 of the family's 1533-position model. The record is from RNAcentral.